CUGGAAACGGUGGCUAAUACCGCAUAAUCUCUAAGGAGCAAAGUGGGGGACCAUUAGGCCUCACACCUUCGGAUGAACCCAUAUGAGAUUAGCUAGUAGGUGGGGUAAGGGCUCACCUAGGCGACGAUCUCUAGCUGGUCUGAGAGGAUGAUCAGCCACACUGGGACUGAGACACGGCCCAGACUCCUACGGGAGGCAGCAGUGGGGAAUAUUGCACAAUGGGCGCAAGCCUGAUGCAGCCAUGCCGCGUGUAUGAAAAAGGCCUUCGGGUUGUAAAGUACUUUCAGUCGUGAGGAAGGUGUUAAGGUUAAUAGCUUUAGCAAUUGACGUUAGCGACAGAAGAAGCACCGGCUAACUCCGUG
Molecule: ribosomal RNA, 362 nt
Filed under: uncultured Arsenophonus sp.
Lineage: Bacteria; Pseudomonadati; Pseudomonadota; Gammaproteobacteria; Enterobacterales; Morganellaceae
Description: bacterial SSU rRNA
Rfam family: Bacterial small subunit ribosomal RNA
Source: RNAcentral